CGGAGGGUGCGAGCGUUGUUCGGAAUUAUUGGGCGUAAAGCGCGUGUAGGCGGCUCCUUAAGUCUGAUGUGAAAGCCCCGGGCUCAACCUGGGAAGUGCAUUGGAAACUGGGGAACUUGAAUACGGGAGAGGGUAGUGGAAUUCCUGGUGUAGGAGUGAAAUCCGUAGAUAUCAGGAGGAACACCGGUGGCGAAGGCGGCUACCUGGACCGAUAUUGACGCUGAGACGCGAAGGCGUGGGGAGCAAACAGGAUUAGAUACCCUGGUAGUCCACGCCGUAAACGAUGAGUACUAGGUGUUGCGGGUAUUGACCCCUGCAGUGCCGCAGCUAACGCAUUAAGUACUCCGCCUGGGAAGUACGGUCGCAAGACUA
RNAcentral lists this ribosomal RNA (372 nucleotides) under uncultured organism. RNAcentral describes it as "bacterial SSU rRNA". It matches the Rfam family "Bacterial small subunit ribosomal RNA", at positions 526 to 896 of the family's 1533-position model. The record is from RNAcentral.